Pelobates cultripes (western spadefoot toad) is the source of this 843-nucleotide non-coding RNA. The record is from the annotation of a GenBank genome assembly. NCBI's taxonomy places the organism in Eukaryota, Metazoa, Chordata, Amphibia, Anura, Pelobatidae.
GGGCAGUCAGGGUUCUAUUGUUAUAGUGUUAGGGCAGUCAGGGUUCUAUUGUUAUAGUGUUAGGGCAGUCAGGGUUAUAUUGUUAUAGUGUUAGGGCAGUCAGGGUUAUAUUGUUAUAGUGUUAGGGCAGUCAGGGUUAUAUUGUUAUAGUGUUAGGGCAGUCAGGGUUAUAUUGUUAUAGUGUUAGGACAGUCAGGGUUAUAUUGUUAUAGUGUUAGGACAGUCAGGGUUAUAUUGUUAUAGUGUUAAGGGCAGUCAGGGUUAUAUUGUUAGGGCAGUCAGGGUUAUAUUGUUAUAGUGUUGGGGCAGUCAGGGUUAUAUUGUUUAUAGUGUUAGGGCAGUCAGGGUUAUAUUGUUAUGAGUGUUAGGGCGGUCAGGGUUAUAUUGUUAUAGUGUUAGGGCAGUCAGGGUUAUAUUGUUAUAGUGUGAGGGCAGUCAGGGUUCUAUUGUUAUAGUGUUAGGGCAGUCAGGGUUCUAUUGUUAUAGUGUUAGGGCAGUCAGGGUUCUAUUGUUAUAGUGUUAGGGCAGUCAGGGUUCUAUUGUUAUAGUGUUAGGGCAGUCAGGGUUCUAUUGUUAUAGUGUUAGGGCAGUCAGGGUUCUAUUGUUAUAGUGUUAGGGCAGUCAGGGUUAUAUUGUUAUAGUGUUAGGGCAGUCAGGGUUAUAUUGUUAUAGUGUUAGGGCAGUCAGGGUUCUAUUGUUAUAGUUUUAGGGCAGUCAGGGUUAUAUUGUUAUAGUUUUAGGGCAGUCAGGGUUAUAUUGUUAUAGUGUUAGGGCAGUCAGGGUUAUAUUGUUAUAGUGUUAGGGCAGUCAGGGUUCUAUUGUUAUAGUGUUAGGGCAGUCAGG